RNAcentral lists this ribosomal RNA (495 nucleotides) under uncultured bacterium. RNAcentral's name for it is "partial 16S ribosomal RNA". It matches the Rfam family "Bacterial small subunit ribosomal RNA", at positions 28 to 507 of the family's 1533-position model. The record is from RNAcentral.
GACGAACGCUGGCGGCGUGCCUAAUACAUGCCAGUAGAACGCUGAAGGAGGAGCUUGCUUCUCUGGAUGAGUUGCGAACGGGUGAGUAACGCGUGGGUAACCUGCCUGGUAGCGGGGGAUAACUAUUGGAAACGAUAGCUAAUACCGCAUAAUAGUAGAUGUUGCAUGACAUUUGCUUAAAAGGUGCAAUUGCAUCACUACCAGAUGGACCUGCGUUGUAUUAGCUAGUUGGUGGGGUAACGGCUCACCAAGGCGACGAUACAUAGCCGACCUGAGAGGGUGAUCGGCCACACUGGGACUGAGACACGGCCCAGACUCCUACGGGAGGCAGCAGUAGGGAAUCUCCGGCAAUGGACGGAAGUCUGACCGAGCAACGCCGCGUGAGUGAAGAAGGUUUUCGGAUCGUAAAGCUCUGUUGUAAGAGAAGAACGAGUGUGAGAGUGGAAAGUUCACACUGUGACGGUAUCUUACCAGAAAGGGACGGCUAACUACGUG